Molecule: unclassified non-coding RNA, 298 nt
Organism: Callithrix jacchus (white-tufted-ear marmoset)
Lineage: Eukaryota; Metazoa; Chordata; Mammalia; Primates; Cebidae
Rfam family: Metazoan signal recognition particle RNA
About the family: The signal recognition particle (SRP) is a universally conserved ribonucleoprotein. It is involved in the co-translational targeting of proteins to membranes.
Source: Ensembl
GUCAGACAUGGUGGCGAGCACCUGUGGUCCCAGCUACUUUGAAGCCUGAGGUGGGAGAAUCGCUUGAGUCCAGGAGUUCUGGACUGUAGUGCACUGUGUCAAUCGGGUGUCCACAAUAAGUUCGGCACCAACAUGUAACCUUCUAGGAGCAGGGGACCACCAGGCUGCCUAAAGAGGAGUGAACCAGCCCAGGUUGGAAACAGAGAGGUCAAAUCUCCCAUGCAAAUUGAUACUGGGAUGACACUGAUGAGUAGCCACGUUACUCCAGCCUGGGCAACAUAGUGAAACCCUGUCUCUA